CUUUCUGAGUCUGAACUUCCUUCUCCUGGCUAUGGUGGGUUAUAAGACUCUUCACCAUCUGUGACCCCCUGCUCCGCCUGACUACUUUCCUCCCCCUGUUCUGCUUCAUGCGUCAUUUCCCUGUCUUUCUCUUCUGACAGUUCCUGCUCCGAACCCUCCCCUGCUACUGACGAAGCAGCAUGUUCUGGCUCUUCCCUGACACUCAUCAAACCUAAAUCCGGCCCUGGUAAGUAGGUAUGGGAGUGUAGCACAACAGCACUAUUAAGAUUUCUAGAAUUGUUUGCAUACUCAAUAAAACUCAGUUCAGUCAAGACCAUUCCCUGCUAUUCUGAAAAGCGAACAAAGCACAUCUUAAUGCAGUAUUUCAGCUGCCACCCCCUCCAAGAGAAAAGUGGUUAUUGUAAUUCCAGAUUAGUGGAAAUGUGCAUGGCUUAUUCAUCCUGUGCAUAAAACUGAUAACCCAUGCAGUUGGGACUGUUUAUUUAUUUCUUAUUCAUUUGUUUCAGUCUUUGUGAGUCAUCUGAGUGUUUCCCAUUUGUAAUGUGAUUCUGGAAAAUUAUUUUGCAUAUGUAAUAGUAAACACUUGGCACCACAUCUUCGCAGAGAAUGAAAAUGAUCUAAACAAUUCCCAUCGGCCUAAUGAGCAGAAACGGUGACUGGAACUGUGGCUAAAAUUUUGGCAGCAGAAAACCGACUUGGAUCAUCUGUACUUUUGACUAGCAAGCAUCUUGGGAAUCAAUUGACAUAGCUUUGAUUGCAGCUUAGAAAGGCGUAAGGAGGGAAUCUGGUGUCCAAAAGGCAACUCCCUGAUACUGUCACAACCAACAGCCUAAACAAUAUUUUAGGUUUUUAAUAAAUAGAUUUAGAAUGAAAAUAUUUUAUAUACUUCAUCUGGGGAAGAUGAAAGUAUUCUGUUAGUUCAUUUAGGAUUAUUUUCAACCCAAUAUACAAUUUUUUUUUUUGGUAUAAUCAGAAAAUUUCAAGCGGUCAGGAUAAAGAGGUGCAUAUUAGAUAAAGGUAAAAGUAAAGGACCCCUGGGUGGUUAAAUCUAGUCAAAGACAGCUAUCGGGUUGCAGCACUCAUCUUGUUUUCAAGCCAAGGGAGCCAGCGUUUGUCCACAGACAGCUUCCCGGGUCAUGUGGCCAGCAUGACUAAACCACUUAUGGUGCAACAGAACACCAUGAUGGAAACCAGAACGCACAGAAACUCUGUUUACUUUCCCGCCACAAUGGUACCUAUUUAUCUACUUGCACCGGUGUGCUUUCGAACUGCUAGGUUGGCAGGAACUGGGACAGAGCAAUGGGAGUUCCCCCCGUCACAGGGAUUUGAACCACUGACCUUCUGAUCGACAAGCCCAAGAGGCUCAGUGGUUUGUACCUCAGUGCCACCCACAUCCAUAUUAGGACAUCUGGGAAAGGUAGGCUGGUGCACGUAAUCCACUUUUCGAUGGGGCAAAUGAAGCAGCACCAGCAGUUACAGAAAGGAUGGUGUUCCCAACAACCAAUAAGAGUCACAGCAGAAGGUACUAAAAUGGAGGCAAUCAGGAAUAUCUAUUGCAUCGGAGAGGAGAAGGUUACUGCACGGUAAAGCAGAAAGUAUUUAAUAGGUGAUACAUGGUGUCUAUAGAAAUCCAUACUGAUUCUGUAUAUCCUAAUGCCAGCCAGUGUUCUCUAGGCGUUCUUAUCUGCUAUAGGGGCAUGAUCUUACCUAGUAUUAUUUUCUGAGCUGGCUAAUUGUGAUGUUUUUGAUACAUUAAGAGGUCAAUCCUACACUGAAAAUCAGUCAGAUGAGCAGCCAGGUCUACCUUAACACCACAACAGAUAUACCACUGGGAUAUCCCAUAUAAUAUAACUUUAUGUGCAAGUGUGUUUGUGUCACUCACCCCUGCAUGACAAACUGUGCCUGUAAAUAAUAAAAAAUAAAAAAUAAAGCUCACUAUUUGUAUAGCGGCAGGAAGAUAUAGAAAUCCCAAUGCAACUAUUGCAAUAACCAUCAUACACAGGUCUUCGUGAAUAGAAUAAUUGCUAUUAUCUGCUAAUAUAAAUACAUAAAUACAUAUCAGCUUUGCACUUGAGCGUUUCCACAUAUGGUAAUGCAACCUGACACUCCUUGUGUCAGGAUAACAGACAGAAAUUAACCGUCGCACAAGAAACAUAGGUAUAUGAAUAGUUACAGUGCAAAGCUACAGCAAAUGAAAAGAGAAAUCAUUAAGAAGCUGCAAACGCUGUUUCCAUUUCUGUAUCUGCACAUGGUAGUCAUCCUUGCUCAAUGAGCUCAUUAGAAAAACAAAACAGCUUUGUUUGAUAAUGCACCAUGGUGUAUGUGAUACUCCAUAGGGACCACGGCAAGGGUCUUGUAACCUCCGGCACAGCGCAUGAAAUCUAUGUGCUUCCCAUGGAAAAAGAACGUCACGUAGCACUAUACAAUACAACAAAUAUGGAGCUAACACCCUCUGGGUUUCUAGUCAGUGAUCUCACAGCUAGUAAAAAUGGCGAUUCUAGUUAAUGUAAAUACAAGAUAACAAAAAAUACAGGCCUUCUCCGAUUUCUUUGCUUGGGAAAGCUGUAUUUUUCAGUAUGGUGUUAUAAAAGUGUCAGAGCUGGGAGCUCUCGCUUUCUUAUAUAAUAGAAUUGUAUUGUGUUGGUUUGUGUGUGUGUAAGCAUAUGCACACACAGGCAAUACUUGUCAAAAAUUGCUUUUUGGAGAGUGAGUUUUAGAAAUGCCAUUCCUAAUGUGAUUUCUCCUCAUAAAAGGAAAACAUAUUUUGAUGGCUUUAUUAUUUAUGUAGUAAUGACCUGUGCUUUUUAAUUAGGAUUGAAACAAUAAUAUUUAUGUUCAGCUGAACUACUGCUUUUUAAAAAUAUAUUUCCGAACACAUGCUGAAAAGUUUGACGUCUCUUUCAGCACCCUAAAAUGAAAUGCAACAGGGAGGACUAUGGUUAUAGUUUCUUUUCUCUUCUCAGCAUUCAACAACUACCUUUACUGUACUGACCAACAAGUUCAGUGUCAAAUAUGCAGUGAUUAGAAGCAGCAGGUACAGUUUCUGCUGUAGUGGCAGCAGCAAUGCUGGUAUAAAUGUAAUAUAAAAGAUGAAUACAAACCCAAGUCAUCUCUGGGCAGUGAAGAGUCAGGCUGGAUGAAUUGGUCUGUCUCUGCCCUAGUGACUUUUGCAUUGCUCAUAAGUAAAACAAAACAAACAAACUCCUUGUGAAAAUUUUAGCACUAAUUUCACCAAAUACCCAAAUUUGUGUAUGCAAUUUCUCCUUAUAUACACAUUUGGCAAAGCAUUUCUGCUUAAUAUAAUGCAUUUUUGUAUGUUAUUUUCACUAAAAUGCCUGUUUUAUACAUAUUAGUUGGUGGAAAAUCAGCAUUGCAAAAUUCAGAAAAGUGCAAAUUUAGAAGAAUGACUGUCCUUUGGUUUGCAUAUUGUUUUGUAAACUGCAAAUUAGGUAGGUUCACUUUUAAAUAUGAGCUGAAUUGAAUCCCCCCCCAUCCUUACAUUUCAGAGACAAAAGGGAAGAGUCAGACAUCGGGCUGCUGCUCUUGGCAUCAGCCAUGCUUCGCCUAGCAUGUAGUUACACUCUUAUUCUGAGUCAGACCAAUUGUCCAUCUAGCUUAGCCCACCCAGAAGCAGAUUACUAGAGUUUUGAUGUUAUAAUUCCAUGCAGCCAGCCAAAUGCAGAAUUGCUCCUGGGCCUGGCUGGCAGUUCGUGAUCACAAUUUUCGAAGGUGAUGCUGAGAAUGCUGUUGCUUCGUGUAUAGGAGCAAUUUCCCUUGUGCCCUCCCCUCUCCCUUUGGCUAUCAUGAUGUGAACCUAGAAGUAAGCAUACGUUUGAUGGGUUUCUUGGGACGAUGGUGUCUGUAGGCCCUUUCAGCCAAGCAUUUCUCCAUUAUCCGAAACCCUUUAACUGCUGGGAAUGCCUUUGGGAUUUUAUGCAUGCAAAAAUAUGUGCCUUUCUUCUGGGACAUGGAUAGUAGGCAUGCUGCGUUAAUAGCAGAAUGUAAAAUAUGGGUUUAAGUAAAGCCCACUCCUCCUUUUGGCAUUAGCUCUGGUCAUUGAACCCUUUCCCAGAUGCAGGGAUGGGCUAUGCUUUGUAAUUGUUUGGGGAGGAGAAAUAUUAUGAAAUUUCUUUUGUAUAAUUGAGGUCGCUAUUUAUUGUUCCAAAAAUGUGCAAAUCAUUUUGCUGAUUUCAUUUUUUUCUGGGCAGACUACUCUGAGAAUUAUUAACGUCCAUUUCUGGAACUGCUAUGAAAUAACCAAGGCUAACGUGACCACAGUGCUGGAGGAAAAGGCCAUAAUAUCACUAUUUAUUUCUUUAGGAUAGGCAUGAUAUGCUUUAGCUUCCCCUUUGCCUUAUGUUUUUAUUCCCACCCUCUAAGUUCAGUAGAAGUUAAACAUUCUGUUCCUCCUUUGAACUUUCAGGGAAUUUCUACCCUCUUGUCUAAGCUGCCUUUUAUAAAUCGAAAUUUGUUUAUUGAAUGUUUAGAAUAAUAUAACAAAAUAACAGAGAGAGAGACACAUCAGAGGGAACCACAAACACAGAAUAAUUAGGAGAUCAAUAAACUAUUCAGGAAUACAUAAAUGACUUUACAAUGACCUUCUCCAAUAAAAGAGAUGAAGAGUGUAUAGGCCAUGCAAAUCUUAAAUGCUAGUUACAGUGCCAAGUGAAUUCAAGUAGGCUGGCAAUGUUGACUUAGCUGUUCUAAUUGUGCAGAGCUUGGCAGAUCACAGAAUAAAAGAACAGUAUGGAGAACAAAAGGCACAAGCACAACAAAGAAAUAUGCCUAAAAGAAAUAGACUUGAAAGAAACAGUUGGGAGAGAAACAAUAAAUAGAAUCAGGAAGUUAAGUCUGCAUAGAAAAUAAAAUACGUAGCACUAUGAUAAGUUUUCCACCAAAGCUUAAAGUCAAGUUUAUCACACUGCUGCUACUUAAAAACACUUCCCCCACAGGAGCUGAACUUACAGUUUCCUUUUGUAUGCCAUCCCAUCAGGAACUGCUGUGAAUCAUAGCUAGGGCCUUUGAAUGUCAAUCUGACAGACUUCACUUCUAUAUGCACUUGAUGGCAGAUCAGGGCAACAUAAAAGUGGUCUGCUUUCAAGAAUUGCUCCCUCCUAGUUUUUCAGCCAAGGUACCAAGCAUGAUAUGGAAACAUGCACAACAGGAGUGGUUGCUGUGGUUGGGCAGAAGUACUUACCUGACUUCCCAGCAGUGGAGUCACUGCUGCAAAACAGUGGGAAGGUGGUGCAGUGCUAAUAUACCAGCAGGAGUGCUGGAUUGACUCAGCCAGUGUAUUUGCACCACACUGAUUGUACCACUGUCUAUCUCCCCCUCCCCUUCGGAUAUGCAGCAGCAACUCACAUGCUGGGAGGUCAGGUAAGGGCCUCUGUCCCACCACACCACCUGCUUCUGAUGUAUAAGGAUCAGGAGCUGUCACCUGACCUUUUCUGGGUUAGUGGCGGAUGUGGAUACCUUGGAUAGAGUGGUCCACUCAAGUCAACAGUUCAAUUUCUGCUGCAGUCCUGACAUCAUUGCACCAAGGAGCUCCAUGAAAGCAGGAGUUUCCCUUGUUCUGUAAUGGCAAGGAAUAUGCCACAAAGAACAUCUUACCAGUUACGUCCCCUUGACACCAAUGUGUUCAUUAUUACGUCUGCAGCGUACUAAUGAACAUUUAUGCAUACAUUGGGGAAAUUGUUGCUUCCAACAUACAUUCUUUCUGAACAAAACAACUGGAGGUGAGGUGAUCAGGAAGAUGCUGUACAGUGUGUCCAGGCCUAUGUUUCUAUCUGCACAGCCCAAUAAUAUGAGGGAGUCACUACAUUUCUUUUCAUUCUGGAUGACAUUUUAUGUUAAAGAGCAUGACAGCUUAAUUUCAGUUAAGCACUGCUAACAAUAGGAAUUCACACAGAAAGCCAGCAGUCAUGCAGUCAUUGAUCGUGUAUGUAAAUGAUGUAGCCCAUUGUGCUUGGUCAUUGUGAAGAUUCUCAUUAUAAAACCUUCCUUCCUGUCACCUACGUGUGUGACAGACAUUAGCAAAUAUGCUGUAUGCAGCCACGUGAAAGCUGGCACCAUCAAAACAUUUUCAUCCGGGAAAGGAUCCCGUAAGUUGUGGGUUGUUGUUUGUUGCUGCUGUGAGGCACUGAGAAUUCUAGCGAAUGCCCAUUAGGGAAUAAUCUGUUCUGAACCUCAAAACAUACUCCACUCAAAUUCUUUUUGACCAUUUGUGUCUCUCCCCCACUCUCUUUCAAUCCAGGGAACAGAAGACAUGACUUCUUCCUGAUAUUUAUGCAGAGUCAGGAAGCCCAACCCAUCACAGACAUCUACCCAGUGCUAUUUUUCUAGAAAAAGAGGUGUGGGAACUCACUCUUGUUCUCUUAUAAUGGCAAUGGCGCCCACCUGAGAGGUGCCGGAACUGAGUUCUGGUGAGUUCUGGCUGAAAAAACCCCUGCAUCUACCUCAUCUUUUCAUUACCUAACAGUUUUAGCCGGCUUUAAAUAGUGCAACUUGGUUCUUAAAGGACCCCUGCUGAUAUUUCCUCCAACCCACAGCAAAUCUCCUAUUUCCUCUCAGUUCCUGGAAUACUACCAGGUGAUAUUUGCCCAGAAUUGCCUCCAGUUUUGCUAGUUUCAGCCACAGGAAAGGGUGCUUCCUGUUCUGGCUCCAUGUAGCAUCUAGACUGCCAGUGUUCUCUUGCAGCGUUCCUGCAGCCUUGCUUCCUCUGCCUACAUUCUUAUAUGAUCAUAGAGAGGCUGGGGAAAAUUCAGACGGCCAAUUGCUGCCACACCCAGCUUCUGCCACAUUCACAUCCCAUUGGUUGAUGGAGCAGACAUAGUCCCAGCUAUGCCAGACAUAGUCCCAGCUAUGCCAGACAUAGUCCCAGCUAUGCCAGACUUCCCACAUACCCUUCUGCUAUAGCUCAUACUUGGAGUGUGAUUCUGUGGAAGGUUAGGGUGGGGUGGGUUUUUAAGUAAAUUUAAAAACAGUGUAAUAACAAAAUGUAGUCCCGUACAUUCUCAAAUUUAUUGAAAGUGGCCUUACACCGAGUUGAACCAUUAGUCUAUCUAUCUGAGUGCUGUCCACUCUAUACUAGGCGACAGUUCUUCUCCAGAGUUUUGGAGAAGAGAUUUUCUCAGCCCUGCUUGGAGAUGCCAGAGGUUAAACCUGGAACCUUUUCUACCACUGCACUAUAGCUCUUCCCCAUAAAGGACUGCUGCUGCCCAGGACUGACCUGCUGGGAGCCUGAAGGGCCCUGCGCUGCCUCUCUCCACCUGGCUUGGGGCGGGGUCUGGAGGACUCCAUAAAGGGCUGCUGCUGCUGCUGCUGCUGCUGCUCAACAGAGAUGGAUGCUUUUAAAUGUUUUUAUUUUUUAUCUAUAUCAUUUUAAAUUGUUAUUGAUAUCAAUGUUGUAUUUUUUAGUUUUAGAUUUUAUGAUUUAUG
This 7437-nucleotide long non-coding RNA is filed under the name Podarcis lilfordi (Lilford's wall lizard). The record is from RNAcentral. Lineage: Eukaryota; Metazoa; Chordata; Lepidosauria; Squamata; Lacertidae.